Long non-coding RNA from Venturia canescens, 576 nucleotides. RefSeq lists it as uncharacterized. The transcript is spliced from 2 exons. The record is from RefSeq and is a predicted model, not a curated record. Lineage: Eukaryota; Metazoa; Arthropoda; Insecta; Hymenoptera; Ichneumonidae.
GUGAAUCUCGAUUUUUAGACCGACGUUUCACCACGACUUUCUUCUCAAGAGGAAUUAGACAUCCUGUAAUAAAAAAAUUAGAGGCUUGUCGAACUUUCCAAAAGAUUUGAAAAGGAGCAUUCCUAUAACGAUCUCCGAAAAGAUCAAUAUGGUUUCAGUAAUCAGUAGCAACGGAAAAUAAUAUUCAGCAGAACUGAGCUCAACUUACUAAUUUGUCUACAAAAUCCCACAAAUCGUAUGGGUCGAGUUCUUUCGUAAGUACAGUGGAAGCUUUUCGCAGUACAUGUGAAGAAGUUGUGAUAAUUUGAGAAUCCAUCAGAACCUCAUCUUGACAGCUUACUUUUCAUGCAACAAUACAAAACUUCUAAUUAACGUGAAUAAUGAAUAUUUCAUGCAAUUCAAUGAUAUCAAAUACAAAAUUCUCAGGAACGAUUGCAACAUUGUAAUUUUCUUAUGAGAUUUUUACCCUUUUUCUUAACUUUUUCUCUACAAGAAAAGCUUUAGACAACAAAGAAGCUUUGUUAUCUCCUGACAAUGUGAACUUCAACAUUAUGGAAAUAAAAAUAAAUAUUCUUA